GGGGCUGUAGCUCAACUGGGAGAGCGCCUGCUUUGCAAGCAGGAGGUCGCCGGUUCGAUCCCGGUCAGCUCCA
RNAcentral lists this transfer RNA (73 nucleotides) under Elusimicrobiota bacterium. RNAcentral's name for it is "tRNA-Ala". It matches the Rfam family "tRNA". From Rfam's summary of the family: Transfer RNA (tRNA) molecules are approximately 80 nucleotides in length. Their secondary structure includes four short double-helical elements and three loops (D, anti-codon, and T loops). RNAcentral also lists the same sequence under 1 other name. The record is from RNAcentral. Lineage: Bacteria; Pseudomonadati; Elusimicrobiota.